ACUAACACCUAAACUCUAUCUAACACAAGCAGAGCACAGAAUACAGAAGAAGCCCAAGCUAUAUUAUUGUUAACUCUACUCCUAUAUCUCCUAUCCUGCAGCAGCUCUCCAUAUAUGGAAAAGGCUGAUCCAGAUGAUUCUAUUUCAUUGUCACAUGCAAUGUGCUUUGUUGGAUUGACUGUGAUUUCCAUGAUUAAUGAGGUAAUUUUUCUCUUUGUAUUUGUAGUGGACAUUUUGUAUCAUAGAGAAGGUACCAUUUUAUAAUCCCAAUGGAUGAUGGGUGGGCAAUCAUAAACCCUUAAAUGAAGAAGCUCUUGAUGAUCAUGGUGUGAUUCAUUGCAAUGGUUAUGGCCAUUUGGUAUGUCUUAAUGGGAGAGGAAUCAUGGAUCUAUGGAACCAAAUUAGCACCAAUCUUGGAGCAAGGUGGGGUUAUGGUUUUUGCCGUGGAAGCUUUGGUGUGACAGAACAAAACUAUAAUGAAGCUAUUGAAACUCUUGGUUCAUUAGUUCUUGAUGAUAUUGCAAGAGAUCUGAGUAAGACAAAGUAAAAGAUGUCAAGCAAAUGAUUCGUCUCAAUACAAAUGUUAACUUGUGCCCUUAAGAGUACAUGUUAAAAAAAACUCAUUAUAGAAAUAUAUGUAUCAAAAGUCGUGCAUUCAACUUCUUAAACAUUAAAAUGUUAUGUUUUCCAAUGUAAAAUUACUCAUUUUAGGUUCUUUAA
Molecule: long non-coding RNA, 720 nt
Organism: Medicago truncatula (barrel medic)
Lineage: Eukaryota; Viridiplantae; Streptophyta; Magnoliopsida; Fabales; Fabaceae
Exons: 2
Source: RefSeq, a predicted model, not a curated record